CUCUUCUGAAGAGACCACAGCAGCAUAUUGCUGCAUGCUCAGUGCUGUCGUCAGGCUGUUAGUUCUUAACUGGAGAAAAGCUGAAGGCAGCUGGAAUCCCUUCCUGAGCCUUUCCUCAGUUUGUUCUGAAUUCGAUAAAAAAUGGCAAUAAUUUGGAGACAGAUAUAGAAAGAAGAAAUAAAAGUGAUUUCACAAUAAGCCCCUUGGCUUGCCACUCGUGACCACAGGCAGAUAUUAGAAGUGCUAAAUCCAUUAAAUGUUGCUUUUCCAGAAGCCGAAAUGUUUUCAGCCAAACCGCUCUCUUGCCGGCAGCUUCGGAUGCUGUAGCGGGAACCAGAGCAGCCCAAGGAGAGAAGCAAACAAUUAAAACAUUUACAUGUUUGCUUCCUGAUAGACAUCUCUACAAGGCAAGAUUCUUCAGAGCCUGAGUGACUUCAGAAGGAGAAACUUAUUAGAAGAAGUCUUUGCCAUUAUAUGUAUAGUAAGUUCACCUCCCAUGUGUGCUUGUGCUCCAUACAGAGCUGGGAUGCAUGAGAGGAAUGGGCACAUGCGGUUUGAUCUCAUUUUGCUCACCAUGGAAAGGGACAGCUGCAGUGAGCUGCCUGUUUUCUGAGUUAUCAGCUGCCAGACAGCCUGUAACACCUCAGCCAGAGGCACAGGGACCUCACCAUAAGUGCAUGCUGGCCUAAGGCCAUACCUGCACAUGCAAGGUGCAGAUCCUUUGGACUCCACACCUGUAGUGUGGCAUCCACAAAGCAGCAGCAGCAAAGCAGUUACCACUGUGUGCAAACAGCUUGCUGUGAUUAACCUAUCAGGGCUCAUGCUUGUCUGAGGACAGCUGGAGCUGGUAAGAUGUUUGCCUUGCAGUACCCAGAAAGCUGGAUAUCUCUUGGAGUGGUUCUGGAUGGUUACACACAAAUUGGAGACAUUGGUCUCCUGCCAGACCAGGCAGAAAUAACACAGCAAGAUGCCUCAGGGAAGCAAGGAAGUUGUUCAGGACUUCCUCUUCCCUCAACAACAGCAAACCUGAAAGCCAUAGAGGGGCAGGCUGGAGAACUGAGCUUGGCUGAAGACCUCUUGUCACUGACACUCCCAUGCUCCCAUCUUGGGCUGCUGGAGAGUGGCAUGUCCUUCAUGACUCACUGUACCCUCACAGUCAUAGCUCAUCUUCUGUGCCUGGCUGAGCACAGAGGGCCAAUCAUGCUGCAGGACCUCAGUGUAAGAUGUCGUCACAACAAGCAAUUGGAAAAGCCAAAGAAGGCUGAAAUCCAUGGCUGUGAAGAUGGAGUUGGCUGUUUCACUAUGAGAUGUGGAGGAAAUAUUUAUCCUACACCUACCGCAGCCAGACUGCAGUUGUUGAGUUGAGUGACAAGGAAACGGGAGCCUGGGAUGUCUCAGCACAAGCUUCCCUAAGCCUUGACUUGGUGGGUGAGCACCUGAACACAGCCAGAGCCUGUUACAUUAAAGGCUUUAUAAAAGCAACAGUGCCAGGCUGACAUCCACCUCCCACGUUACCGGCAGCCCCAGCAGGUGUAAUGCGAUCCGGCAGGCGCAGCUAGCAGAUAAACAAACGGCCUUUCUGCACAGGUUGUGCCAGAGAGCCUCUCCCAGCAGGGAAUUGGGUUGGAUGUUGUACUAGGUCAGUGAGCUGCUAUGGAAAGAGCUGUGACAAUGGACAAUAUUGUCCUUUUUCCACACAGGAUUUUCCCUCAACACUUAAGGCAAGGCAGCAGAAAAACCGUUGGGGAAAGUUUCUCUACCAGGCCUCAGAAGUUUAGUGGGAUUGGGCCCUCAAUGGGGGCCUACUGCUGGAUUUCCCUAGGCCGUCACUUCAAUGCCGCCAGGCCAGCCAGCAGCGCUGAGGGCUGCCUGCCAGAGCUGCUUGCUUGCUCUGCCAUUGGGGCUCAUCUCUAGUGAGUAAUAUUAACCAAAGGCCUUCCUACUUGGCUACAACAUAUCUUCCUUCUUCAUUAAGGAGCUAAGCUAAGCUGCCCAGCUGUGGUAAAUUUCCCUUGCUCCACAGCUGAGGUAAUAAUGAUGCAUUCCCAGGAGCAGGGCCUGCACCCUGUGUGCCACAUUGGGCCUGGUGGUGUGUGGGCACAUUGCUCCACACCACACCAAAAUGGCGUCCGUCUGGUACUGCCCCACAGCGUGUGGGCGCACCAUACCACUCCAAAAUGGUGUCCAUCCUGCACUUCUCUGCAGCUUAAGGGCACUCUACAACAAAAUGGUGGCUGUUCAGCACUGCCCAGCAGUGUGUGGCACUCCACAACAAAAUGGCGGCUGUCCAGCACUGCCCUGCAGUGUGUGGCACUCCACACCACACCAAAAUGGUGUCUGUCCUGCGCUGCCCUGUAACUUGUGGGUGUACUAGAGCAAAAUUGUGGGUGAAUUGCAGUGCUGCUGUAGCAUAUGGAC
RNAcentral lists this long non-coding RNA (2418 nucleotides) under Gallus gallus (chicken). Its description in RNAcentral is "long non-coding RNA NONGGAT009330". The record is from RNAcentral. Lineage: Eukaryota; Metazoa; Chordata; Aves; Galliformes; Phasianidae.